This is a non-coding RNA of Gossypium raimondii (Peruvian cotton), 145 nucleotides long. The record is from Rfam. NCBI's taxonomy places the organism in Eukaryota, Viridiplantae, Streptophyta, Magnoliopsida, Malvales, Malvaceae.
UGUUAAAAAUUUCAUCUAUUCCUACUGUUAAAAGCCGGCGUGAUUGAUGGAGUAAUUAGACAGCUAUACAUGGCAUUCUAUGUAUACCUCAUGCUGGCAUACAUGGACUAGUUUUUAAUAGUAAAAAUGGAUAGAAUUUUUAACA